This 1531-nucleotide ribosomal RNA is filed under the name Salmonella enterica. RNAcentral's name for it is "partial 16S ribosomal RNA". It matches the Rfam family "Bacterial small subunit ribosomal RNA". Lineage: Bacteria; Pseudomonadati; Pseudomonadota; Gammaproteobacteria; Enterobacterales; Enterobacteriaceae. RNAcentral also lists the same sequence under 2 other names. The record is from RNAcentral.
AAAUUGAAGAGUUUGAUCAUGGCUCAGAUUGAACGCUGGCGGCAGGCCUAACACAUGCAAGUCGAACGGUAACAGGAAGCAGCUUGCUGCUUUGCUGACGAGUGGCGGACGGGUGAGUAAUGUCUGGGAAACUGCCUGAUGGAGGGGGAUAACUACUGGAAACGGUGGCUAAUACCGCAUAAUGUCGCAAGACCAAAGAGGGGGACCUUCGGGCCUCUUGCCAUCAGAUGUGCCCAGAUGGGAUUAGCUUGUUGGUGAGGUAACGGCUCACCAAGGCGACGAUCCCUAGCUGGUCUGAGAGGAUGACCAGCCACACUGGAACUGAGACACGGUCCAGACUCCUACGGGAGGCAGCAGUGGGGAAUAUUGCACAAUGGGCGCAAGCCUGAUGCAGCCAUGCCGCGUGUAUGAAGAAGGCCUUCGGGUUGUAAAGUACUUUCAGCGGGGAGGAAGGUGUUGUGGUUAAUAACCGCAGCAAUUGACGUUACCCGCAGAAGAAGCACCGGCUAACUCCGUGCCAGCAGCCGCGGUAAUACGGAGGGUGCAAGCGUUAAUCGGAAUUACUGGGCGUAAAGCGCACGCAGGCGGUCUGUCAAGUCGGAUGUGAAAUCCCCGGGCUCAACCUGGGAACUGCAUUCGAAACUGGCAGGCUUGAGUCUUGUAGAGGGGGGUAGAAUUCCAGGUGUAGCGGUGAAAUGCGUAGAGAUCUGGAGGAAUACCGGUGGCGAAGGCGGCCCCCUGGACAAAGACUGACGCUCAGGUGCGAAAGCGUGGGGAGCAAACAGGAUUAGAUACCCUGGUAGUCCACGCCGUAAACGAUGUCUACUUGGAGGUUGUGCCCUUGAGGCGUGGCUUCCGGAGCUAACGCGUUAAGUAGACCGCCUGGGGAGUACGGCCGCAAGGUUAAAACUCAAAUGAAUUGACGGGGGCCCGCACAAGCGGUGGAGCAUGUGGUUUAAUUCGAUGCAACGCGAAGAACCUUACCUGGUCUUGACAUCCACAGAACUUUCCAGAGAUGGAUUGGUGCCUUCGGGAACUGUGAGACAGGUGCUGCAUGGCUGUCGUCAGCUCGUGUUGUGAAAUGUUGGGUUAAGUCCCGCAACGAGCGCAACCCUUAUCCUUUGUUGCCAGCGGUCCGGCCGGGAACUCAAAGGAGACUGCCAGUGAUAAACUGGAGGAAGGUGGGGAUGACGUCAAGUCAUCAUGGCCCUUACGACCAGGGCUACACACGUGCUACAAUGGCGCAUACAAAGAGAAGCGACCUCGCGAGAGCAAGCGGACCUCAUAAAGUGCGUCGUAGUCCGGAUUGGAGUCUGCAACUCGACUCCAUGAAGUCGGAAUCGCUAGUAAUCGUGGAUCAGAAUGCCACGGUGAAUACGUUCCCGGGCCUUGUACACACCGCCCGUCACACCAUGGGAGUGGGUUGCAAAAGAAGUAGGUAGCUUAACCUUCGGGAGGGCGCUUACCACUUUGUGAUUCAUGACUGGGGUGAAGUCGUAACAAGGUAACCGUAGGGGAACCUGCGGUUGGA